RNAcentral lists this long non-coding RNA (4039 nucleotides) under Marmota monax (woodchuck). The stretch from base 3965 to 4033 matches the Rfam family "tRNA". Lineage: Eukaryota; Metazoa; Chordata; Mammalia; Rodentia; Sciuridae. The record is from RNAcentral.
ACUCCUUUCUUUGCUUUUCCUAUAAUCAGGCCUGAUCCAGUUAAUGGAAUGGCAUAUCCACCUCGGUAUGAGGGGAUUGAUAUUGAUCAUAUUAGCAGAUUAAAAAAGGCAGUGACAAUGUACGGACCUCAAUCUCAUUAUGUAAAAGCAUUGCUUAAUGCUUUUGCUACUCAUUAUAAUAAUUUUGCUCCAAUACAUAGGAAUUAUGUAAAGUGUUAAAGCAACUGUAUAUGUUUAAAUUGUGUAUGUUAAAGAUUAGGAAAAAAGAUAAUAAUUAUUUUUCCUAAAUGAAAUAACAUUCUUCUCUCCACCAAAUUUUUUUUUCUGAAGUUAAUGGCAUUUAAGUCAAGGUUUUAUUAAAAGCUACAUUUUAUAACACUGGCACAAAAAAAGUAGUUUUAAGCUUGUUUGCACAGUUCUUUUUUUCCAUUGGAAAUGGAAUUCAUUGCCUUAGGUCUUUUUAAAUAGUGUAUUAUCGUUGGGGCUGGCUCUAUGCUUGAAAACCAGUUUAUUUAUAACCUGUUGUAAGUGCUAUAUUCUGUUUGCAGUUAGGAAAUGCAGAAUUUUAAGUGAUCUCCUAGCUUGUAAGCAAACUGAGAUGCACUAUCCCUUUUCUAUAUAAAAAUGAGUUAAUGUGUCAAUAAAUCAACUCAGCAAGGUGGGUUUAAUAUUACCCUUUCCUAUGUGUUUUAUCUAAUUCUUUUGGUUGUUAAUAUGGUGAUAAAUGAAAGUCAAGGUAAAUUUUAAAUAUUAAAUUUUAAAUCUUAAUAUUUAAAUUUUUUCCUUUCCGAUUUAUUGAGCUUGAAUUAUGCCACCAUGCUUAUGUAAAAAUGAAGGUGGCACCAUGGUAAAACUUAAUGAGAAGUAGUUUCUCAGUUGUAAUAAUUUUGAUUUCUCUUUCUUGUGAUCUCUCCUUCCCUGUUGUCUUGAACCAUAGCAAAAGGAUACUGCAUCUCUCAUUACUAUAGUGAUGAGGUUAUUGAAGUUAUAUAAACACAUCUCAGUCUCUGUUUCUUUGAAAGGUAUCUGUUAAGUCCUGCUAGGUGAUUGACAAGACUAAGUAGGGAGAAUAAAGGUAAAUGUGAUUCAUGUUUUGCACACAAAUGCAGAAUUUUAUAACCACAUGACUUCAUAGUUGUGAUCUCAAAAGGAAUUUCUCCUUAUAAUUUUUCUUGCAGUUAAUGUAAGAAUACUCUAAAUCUCUAAGCUUCUGAAGUAUUAGAGGUAGAGAUGAUCUAGUAAAGAUGUAGUUUAUCCAUUUAGCAUGUGUUUAUUUUUCCUUAUGUACUCAAGGUGAUUUAUUUGUUCAGCUCAGUGAUAUUACAGCUAAAAAAACAUUAGCAAAAGGAGAAGCAGUCUACAUCUAACAGAGGAAUCAGAAAUGUUUCUUAUUUUUGUUAAGUUGAAUGUUUGACUCUAACACUUUUCUACAUACAAAACAUAAGUUCCUUAAAGAUUCUUCAUAAUUGUAUUAUAGAAGAAUUUAAUAUGUCAUAAAUACUUAAUUUGACAUUCAUCUGUAGUAGCCAUAUGUUGUUUGAUUUCCUUAUGAGCACCAUGAUGGAAACACUCAAAUGAAUUUGAGAAAAAUUGGAAGAAAUUAGAUUAUCGGGUUCUGUUAAAUUGUUAAUGUAUCUUGCUUAAAUUUUUGUUCAUUAAUUUAUAUCCAUCUGAUUAUAUAAAGUAAAUUUGGAGGAAACAGCUGAAGUUGUGCAAUAUUUUCAGUGAUAAUUACUUUUUGUUCUUGUGUUUUCUACUUAAAACACGAUGUAUAUGUUAUCCAGUAUUAUAGUCAGACCUUCUUUUCUAGAUUGUCAGAAUUGCUAAAUGAACUUUUUUUUUAAAUCAGUUUCCAUGUUGAUUUUAGUCUUUCUUUAUUAUAAGGCUUCUUUCACAGAAGUUUGGUAAUAUUGAAGGUACCGGUAUUAACAGAAUGAUUUUUGGGGCACUUUGUAUUCUUUGACUUUGUUCUCCACAUACCAUGUUAAAAUCCAUCAAUUUUGGCUUUUACUGAGUUGUUAAAUAAAGUUAUAAUACAGCUGUGAAGGGCUACAGUUAGAGUUGAUUACUGAGAAUAUCUCCCAAGAUAUCCCCCCCCCAAAAAAAGGGGGGAUCAUGUAUAAAUUUUAAAUUUGAUCACUAAAAUGUUUAGGUAUAUAUACCUUUGAGAAAUAUUUUUAUUGUUUGGCAUUUAAUAUCAUUUAAUCAUAUACUUUGAAACAGUAUAGCAUUAAAACUCUAUAGCAUUAAAGCUUCUAAAGCCCAAUAGGGGAAUUUAUUUAGAUGUGGGAUUUGAGCCAGGUAUGGUGGUGCAUACCUUAAUCCCAGUGAUUUAGGAGGCUGAGGCACACAGAUGGCAAGUUUAAGGCCAGCCACAGCAACUUAGACCCUGUCUGAGAAUUUUAAAAAGGUCUGGGGAUAUAGCUCAGUGGUGAAGUGUCUGCCCCUUGUGUCUUGGCUGCCCCUGCCAAGUCAUUUUGAAAUGGUAUGAAAAGCCUAACCAGGAAAAAACAAUAACCUUAUCCUUUUAAAUGCAAAAAACAACAUGUUACAAUACUUCAAUUAGGAAAUGCAGAAUUGGGAGGGAAUUUUUCAUUAAAUUUGUCUCUUGAGAAAAUUUACUAUUUUUUUACUGGGAGGUUGCUUUCCACAGAAGGUUUUGUUUUCUUAGUAUGAAUGAGGGAGAGCAUAUUAUGCAUCUAAAAUGCCUAAUGUGAUCAGUAGAGUAGCAGCACUGUAUGCUUUUGAACCCUUUUAAAACCAUGCUUAUAGACUCCAGAUUCCUGGCAUUGAGGAAAGUAAGUUAAAUUUGCAUUAACUAAGGACUUAACCCUAAAAAUCUGGGCAUAGUAAUGGAUUCUUGUGAGAAGAUUUGGUUGGCCAUGCCAAAAUAAAUCAAUAAAAAGCCUACCAUAUAGUAGUUGAUGCAGUCAGUUAGGACUCAAAAGCAUUAUGUGAACUGGGAACCCUAGUCUAUGCUGUCAGAAAGAGGUUGGUUUUCAGUACUGAGUGCAGGAGCAGGCUACAUUCUGCUGAUUCCAGGAGUAGAGCUAAUCCUUCAGUUUUGAAGCGGUGCCAAAUAAUGAUCUUCUAUCCAUGAGUGUGGCCAAACUCAGUAAACAGAUUAUAAACUACAGUAUUACAGUGCAGCAUUUGGUCCUUAUGACCUUUGUCAUACUGAUUAUCUGUAAUGACAUGAAGGAAAAUAAUUCAUAGGUCUUUCUGGUUGUGAGAUAGGUGCUAUUCUAGCAAGUCAUUUUCAGAUGGGCUGUUAUUGCCAGUCCUACUCUUAUAACUCUCUCUUAAACCUUGAAUUAAUGACUUUGAAUAUGCUGUUGAAAUAAGAAAUGAUGUUCAUGGCUAUGGCUUUUGAUCAAUUGGUCUUCUGAUUUCCUGGGAAGAGCUAAGAAUAUGAAAUACCAACUCAUGUAAGUGAUGAUCACUUAGCCUGUUGAAAGCAUUCCCUUUUUUCCCCUCCUAAUUCCAGUAACAGGUGAAGGGAAGAUAAGGUAUUUUUGUUAGCAAUUUAGAAAAGUCAGAAAUAAUUGGUUCUAAAGGUUUAAUCCAUGUUUAACCUUAUAAAAGCACAUGGGAAGUAAAAUAACUUUAAUAGAUUAGAAGAUGUCAUUCCUCAGUUUAAAAUUUUAAUAGUUUCCUGUUUUAAGUAAACUCAACUCCUUAACUGGGAUGAGUUGGCUUUCUGCAUCCCUUUAUUUCAUAGGACUCUACCACUGGUUUCAUGGAUCAUCUUUUAGUGUCUUCUAAAAAUGCCAUGCCUCUUACCUGUUUCAUCUUUUUGCAGUAUAGUUUCUGCUCUGUAGCUCCUCUCAACAUUGUUCAGAUUGCCGGCUUCUUAGCCCUUGGAGCCAAAUAUAUUCCAUUAUUUUACUCCAUGGCUUAAUUCUUUAAGUACCUAUAUGUCUUCCCUAUCAGAAUAAGCUCCACAAAAGCAAGAUAGUGGGUUGGGAUUGUGGCUCAGUGGCAGAGUGCUUGCCUCGCACAUAUGAGGCACUGGGUUCAAGUCUCAGCACCACAUAAA